Molecule: transfer RNA, 65 nt
Filed under: Dreissena rostriformis
Lineage: Eukaryota; Metazoa; Mollusca; Bivalvia; Myida; Dreissenidae
Description: tRNA-Pro
Source: RNAcentral
CAAACUGUAGUUUAUUAAAAAUUUUUACUUUGGGGGUAAGAGAUGUCAUACAAUGAUCAGUUUGA